This 71-nucleotide transfer RNA is filed under the name Aedes aegypti (yellow fever mosquito). It matches the Rfam family "tRNA". Rfam says of the family: Transfer RNA (tRNA) molecules are approximately 80 nucleotides in length. Their secondary structure includes four short double-helical elements and three loops (D, anti-codon, and T loops). Lineage: Eukaryota; Metazoa; Arthropoda; Insecta; Diptera; Culicidae. The record is from Rfam by way of RNAcentral.
GGCUCGGUAGUUUAGUUGUUAAAGCGCUCGUCUAGCAUACAAGAGUCCUGGGUUCGACUCCUAGCCGACCA